This 207-nucleotide ribosomal RNA is filed under the name uncultured bacterium. RNAcentral's name for it is "partial 16S ribosomal RNA". It matches the Rfam family "Bacterial small subunit ribosomal RNA", at positions 568 to 774 of the family's 1533-position model. The record is from RNAcentral.
UGCGUAGGUGGUGAGGUAAGUCGGAUGUGAAAGCUCGGAGCUCAACUCCGAAAUGGCAUUGGAAACUACCUUGCUAGAGGGUUGGAGGGGGGACUGGAAUACUUGGUGUAGCAGUGAAAUGCGUAGAUAUCAAGUGGAACACCAGUGGCGAAGGCGAGUCCCUGGACAACUCCUGACACUGAGGCACGAAAGCUAGGGAGGCAAACA